GACGGUAAUCAUGCGAAUAUAGAGGCGGCUAAUUACGUGCCAGCAGCCGCGGUAACACGUAAGCCCCAAGCGUUGUUCGGAAUUAUUGGGCGUAAAGGGCAUGUAGGCGGUUAUGUAAGCCUGAUGUGAAAUAUACGAGCUUAACUCGUAAACUGCAUUGGGUACUGCGUAACUUGAAUCACGGAGGGGAAACCGGAAUUCCAAGUGUAGGGGUGGAAUCUGUAGAUAUUUGGAAGAACACCGGUGGCGAAGGCGGGUUUCUGGCCCGAUGAUUGACGCUGAGAUGCGAAGGUGCGGGGAGCAAACAGGAUUAGAUACCCUGGUAGUCCGCACAGUAAACAAUGUACACUAGGCGUUGGAGCAAGAGCUUCAGUGCCGACGCAAACGCAUUAAGUGUACCGCCUGGGAAGUAUGCCCGCAAGGGUGAAACUCAAAGGAAUUGACGGGGGCCCACACAAA
Molecule: ribosomal RNA, 459 nt
Filed under: uncultured Treponema sp.
Lineage: Bacteria; Pseudomonadati; Spirochaetota; Spirochaetia; Treponematales; Treponemataceae
Description: bacterial SSU rRNA
Rfam family: Bacterial small subunit ribosomal RNA
Source: RNAcentral